RNAcentral lists this ribosomal RNA (429 nucleotides) under Bacteroidota bacterium. Its description in RNAcentral is "Bacteroidetes bacterium partial 16S ribosomal RNA". It matches the Rfam family "Bacterial small subunit ribosomal RNA", at positions 355 to 776 of the family's 1533-position model. Lineage: Bacteria; Pseudomonadati; Bacteroidota. The record is from RNAcentral.
UAGGGAAUCUUCGGCAAUGGGGGGAACCCUGACCGAGCAACGCCGCGUGAGUGAAGAAGGUUUUCGGAUCGUAAAGCUCUGUUGUUAAGGAAGAACGAGUGUGAGAAUGGAAAGUUCAUGCUGUGACGGUACUUAACCAGAAAGGGACGGCUAACUACGUGCCAGCAGCCGCGGUAAUACGUAGGUCCCGAGCGUUGUCCGGAUUUAUUGGGCGUAAAGCGAGCGCAGGCGGUUAGAAAAGUCUGAAGUGAAAGGCAGUGGCUCAACCAUUGUAGGCUUUGGAAACUGUUUAACUUGAGUGCAGAAGGGGAGAGUGGAAUUCCAUGUGUAGCGGUGAAAUGCGUAGAUAUAUGGAGGAACAACGGUGGCGAAAGCGGCUCUCAGGUCUGUAACUGACGAUGAGGCUCGAAAGCGUGGGGAGCGAACAGG